UUGCUUCUUCAGCACAUAUACUAAAAUUAGAAUAAUACAGGGAAGAUUUUCAUGCCCCCUGUGCAAAGAUGGCAUGUCAAUUUAAGAAACAUUCAGUACUUUU
Molecule: small nuclear RNA, 103 nt
Organism: Phodopus roborovskii (desert hamster)
Lineage: Eukaryota; Metazoa; Chordata; Mammalia; Rodentia; Cricetidae
Source: RefSeq, a predicted model, not a curated record